CAGAGAAAAGUGGAUUCUCUUAAAUUGCCUACGACAAAGGUUAGGUGCGUUAGAUUUAUUGAACGAAAGCAAUGGAUUGUUGCUGGUACAGAGGAUGGCUAUAUCCAUGUGUACAGCUGCGAGACAAAGAUUCAAAAGCUCAAAAGUUUCAGAGCUUUCACUGAUAGGCAUGGGUAUCUCAGCUUGCUAGCCGUGCAUUUAACCCGUCCGUAUUUGUUGUCAGCGGGUACACACAUGAAACUUUGGGACUGGGACAAGGGUUGGGAGUGUGUGCAGACAUUUGAGUGUUACUUUGGGGGAUUUAGGGAGACAAUAUAUGAUGCCGCAUUUAAUCAUAAUGACACAUUUGCUACUACUUCAUCGAAUACAUUUUUAAGUGAGACAGCAACAUACUUACAUAAGGUCUCUCUCUCUCUCUCUCUCUCUCUCUCUCU
Molecule: ribosomal RNA, 434 nt
Filed under: Triticum aestivum (bread wheat)
Lineage: Eukaryota; Viridiplantae; Streptophyta; Magnoliopsida; Poales; Poaceae
Description: partial small subunit ribosomal RNA
Source: RNAcentral